This 433-nucleotide ribosomal RNA is filed under the name uncultured bacterium. RNAcentral's name for it is "partial 16S ribosomal RNA". It matches the Rfam family "Bacterial small subunit ribosomal RNA", at positions 29 to 507 of the family's 1533-position model. The record is from RNAcentral.
AACGAACGCUGGCGGCAGGCCUAACACAUGCAAGUCGAGCGCGCCCUUCGGGGUGAGCGGCGGACGGGUGAGUAACGCGUGGGAACGUGCCCUUUUCUACGGAAUAGCCUCGGGAAACUGAGAGUAAUACCGUAUACGCCCUUUGGGGGAAAGAUUUAUCGGAAAAGGAUCGGCCCGCGUUGGAUUAGGUAGUUGGUGGGGUAAUGGCCUACCAAGCCGACGAUCCAUAGCUGGUUUGAGAGGAUGAUCAGCCACACUGGGACUGAGACACGGCCCAGACUCCUACGGGAGGCAGCAGUGGGGAAUCUUAGACAAUGGGGGCAACCCUGAUCUAGCCAUGCCGCGUGAGUGAUGAAGGCCUUAGGGUUGUAAAGCUCUUUCAGCUGGGAAGAUAAUGACGGUACCAGUAGAAGAAGCCCCGGCUAACUCCGUG